Molecule: RNase P RNA, 373 nt
Filed under: Thorsellia anophelis DSM 18579
Lineage: Bacteria; Pseudomonadati; Pseudomonadota; Gammaproteobacteria; Enterobacterales; Thorselliaceae
Description: Bacterial RNase P class A
Rfam family: Bacterial RNase P class A
About the family: Ribonuclease P (RNase P) is a ubiquitous endoribonuclease, found in archaea, bacteria and eukarya as well as chloroplasts and mitochondria. Its best characterised activity is the generation of mature 5'-ends of tRNAs by cleaving the 5'-leader elements of precursor-tRNAs. Cellular RNase Ps are ribonucleoproteins.
Source: Rfam by way of RNAcentral
AGAAUUGACUAGACAAUCGCUGCUUUAUCGUUGUCCUCUAGGGGAGACAGAUAAGGGGGAGGAAAGUCCGGGCUCCAUAGGACAGAGUGCCAGGUAACGCCUGGGCAACUUAGGUUGACGACUAGUGCAACAGAGAGUAUACCGCCGAUGGCUCGAAAGAGAUCAGGUAAGGGUGAAAGGGUGCGGUAAGAGCGCACCGCGCGACUGGUAACAGUUCGUGGCACGGUAAACUCCACUCGGAGCAAGGUCAAAUAGGAGUUCGUUAAGUGUGGUCCGCACGGAACUCGGGUAGACUGCUUGAACCAAUGAGUGAUUAUUGGUCUAGAGGAAUGAUUGUCCAAGACAGAACCCGGCUUAUCGGUCAAUUCUCACU